This 1843-nucleotide long non-coding RNA is filed under the name Homo sapiens (human). Its description in RNAcentral is "HSALNT0017792". Lineage: Eukaryota; Metazoa; Chordata; Mammalia; Primates; Hominidae. The record is from RNAcentral.
CUAAUUGUUUAAAGAAUUAUAAAUAAUAUGUUUAUGAAAUCUAUAGCUAUAGCUUCUAUAGAUUUAACUUAUAAAGAUAUUUUAAAUCACAUAAUACAUAAUCAGUCUCCAAUACCCUCUUCAAAAUAACUUCUAAAAGUAGCCCCAAAUAGUGGUGAUCCCAAGAAAGAACUAGAGCCGGCCACAAUGGAAUAUUAUUAAGCAGUAAAAUAAAUAAACUGUGAAGCCAUGAAAAGACAUGAAGAGGGCCAGGCACAGUGGCUCACGCCUAUAAUCCCAGCACUUUUGGGAGGCCAAGGCAGGAGCACUGCCUGAGCCCAGGAGUUCAAGACCAAUCUCUAUUUUAAACAAAAACAAAAGAAGAAGAUACUGACGAAGAGACCUAAAUGCAUAUUGUUAAGUGAAGAUGCCAGUCUGAAAGGACUAUAUACUAUGAUUCCAACCACAUGACAUUCUGGAAAGGUAAAACUAUGACUGUAAAAAGAUCAGUGGUAGCCAGAGGUUCAGAGGGAUGAGGCAGAGAUGAGUAAGUGGAACAUGGGACAUUUUUAGGUCAAUGAAACCAUUCUGCACGAUUCUAGAAUAGUGGAUGUAUAAUGUUAUGCAUUUGGCAAAACCCAUAGAACUGUCCAACACAAAGGGUGAAUCCUAAUGUGAACUAUGGACUUUAGUUAAUAAUGUAUCAACACUGGUUCCUCAGUGAUAACCAACACACCACACUAAUGCAAGAUACUAACAGAGGAAACCGUGGGGGACAGUAUAAAUGGGAACUGUGUAUUUUUUUGAGCAAUUUUUCUGUAAAUCCAAAACUGUUCUAAAAAAAAAAAUCUUUCAAAAAACUCAAAUUUACAUAGCCACAUAUAGUUAGUGGCCAGUAUUGAACAGCAUAGGCCCAUAUAAAUAGACUGAUGUGGGAAGAAAAUGAGAAUGGCAUAUGAAGAAUUACUUCAUUUCUGACUACCACUCCCAAAAGUACACAUACAGUUAACCCUAAACUAUAUAAGGUUUUAUAUGUAGCUUCUAUAUUAACAUUUUACAGUAGAACUUGAUCAAAAAUAUUCUGGAUGAAUAUCUUUCUAAUUUUUGUUAAACAGAAUUUAAGGAGGAAAAUAACAUUCAUUAAAGGUGUCAGGUACUAUACUAAAGAUAUUAUUAUUUACAUUUCCAAACAACCUUUAGAUAAAAGUAUUACCAUUUCUGUUUUUAGAGAUGAGGAAUUAUAAUGCUUAAGUCAUAGAAGAUGAGAACCUAGAUAUACUGGACUCCAAAGUGUAUGUUCUAUUUUUUUUAGCGAGGUCUAUAUUCUAAUAUACACCACUCUACUGUAUAUAUGUUUAUGAUUCCCAAAAUUACAAACAUAAUUUUCCCACAAUGAAUUUUCCAUCAGGAGCAAUACUUUAUAUAUAGCACAAUAUAACAGUUAAUGAUAUACUCAGAGUCUAAUGAGGUGUUGUAUAGGUAACUGCUGUCCCUAUUUUAAACAGCCUCAGGCUAAUGUGACUUUUUUCCUGCCACCCAGCUGGCCCUCCAUCCUACCUAUAUGGCUCUACUCCAACAUCUAAUUUGCACCUUUUAAUCUGCUGUGGGACGAGAAAAUAGAUAAUCAAAUUCCUUGAAUUAUGUACAAAGCAAGAGAACUUCUAAACCAAUAUGUUAGUGCAGAUGAUUUAGUUCAUUAAUUUUUCUGAUAAUUAUAGGCCUUUUUUUUUUUUUUGGCCUACUUCUUAAUCUAAACUGAGACCUGGACAAAUUAAAUACUGUUCUAUAAUAAAGCUAAGAAUUUAGUGAUUCUGUUUCAUUCAAAAGUUUUCCACUACACUUUUUUUUUUUUUGAGACAAGUCU